RNAcentral lists this ribosomal RNA (776 nucleotides) under uncultured Neocallimastigales. RNAcentral describes it as "partial large subunit ribosomal RNA". It matches the Rfam family "Eukaryotic large subunit ribosomal RNA", at positions 24 to 643 of the family's 3401-position model. The record is from RNAcentral. Lineage: Eukaryota; Fungi; Neocallimastigomycota; Neocallimastigomycetes; Neocallimastigales.
UACGACUACAUAUCAGGCAUAUCAAUAAGCGGAGGAAAAGAAACUAACUAAGGAUUCCCUCAGUAACGGCGAGUGAAGCGGGAAGAGCUCAAAUUUGAAAUCCUCAAGGUUUACCUUGACGAAUUGUAGUUUAGAGAAGUGUUUUCGGUUAGAGGAGUUUAGUAAAAGUUCUUUGGAAUAGGACAUCAUAGAGGGUGAGAAUACCCGUAUUUGACUAUUAUUUCUAGCUUUGUGAUACACUUUCAAAGAGUCGGAUUGUUUGGGAAUGCAGUCCAAAAUGGGUGGUAAAUUUCAUCUAAAGCUAAAUAUUGGCGAGAGACCGAUAGCGAACAAGUACCGUGAGGGAAAGAUGAAAAGAACUUUGAAAAGAGAGUUAAACAGUACGUGAAAUUGUCAAAAGGGAAGCGUUUGACACCAGUGCUGUUUCUACGAAAAUCAAUUUAUGAUGGCUUGAUGCUAAGCUUUAAGACUUUAUCCGCUUGUUGUUUAGUUUUCCUGUCUUUGUGAAUGCACUUUUCGUGGAACAAGUCAACAUCAAUUUCUUUUGCUGUAAAAGGGUAAGAGGAAGGUGGCUUCGGCUUCGGUUGGAGUGUUUAUAGCCUUUUAUCUCUGCAGUCGGAGAGAUUGAGGUCUGCAGCGUAGACUCUUCGGGGUUAGAUACGUCGGUGCUAAGCUAUAGCUUUUCAUAGACAACUUGUUGACUAUGUUUAGUCAUGUGGCUUACCCGCUGGCGCUAUUUUACCUACGCUUAGGAUGUUGACACACGCGCGUGCUCG